GACGAACGCUGGCGGCGUGCCUAACACAUGCAAGUCGAACGGAACUGUUUUGAAAGAUUUCUUCGGAAUGAAUUUGAUUUAGUUUAGUGGCGGACGGGUGAGUAACGCGUGAGUAACCUGCCUUCAAGAGGGGAAUAACAUUCUGAAAAGAAUGCUAAUACCGCAUGACAUAUCGGAACCACAUGGUUUUGAUAUCAAAGAUUUUAUCGCUUGAAGAUGGACUCGCGUCCGAUUAGUUAGUUGGUGAGGUAACGGCUCACCAAGACCGCGAUCGGUAGCCGGACUGAGAGGUUGAACGGCCACAUUGGGACUGAGACACGGCCCAGACUCCUACGGGAGGCAGCAGAGGGGGAUAUUGCGCAAUGGGGGCAACCCUGACGCAGCAACGCCGCGUGAAGGAUGAAGGUUUUCGGAUUGUAAACUUCUUUUAUUAAGGACGAAAAAUGACGGUACUUAAUGAAUAAGCUCCGGCUAACUACGUG
RNAcentral lists this ribosomal RNA (482 nucleotides) under uncultured bacterium. Its description in RNAcentral is "partial 16S ribosomal RNA". It matches the Rfam family "Bacterial small subunit ribosomal RNA", at positions 28 to 507 of the family's 1533-position model. The record is from RNAcentral.